This 494-nucleotide ribosomal RNA is filed under the name uncultured bacterium. RNAcentral's name for it is "partial 16S ribosomal RNA". It matches the Rfam family "Bacterial small subunit ribosomal RNA", at positions 28 to 507 of the family's 1533-position model. The record is from RNAcentral.
GACGAACGCUGGCGGCGUGCUUAACACAUGCAAGUCGAACGGAAAGGCCUGCUUUCCCUUGUGGAUUGCGGGUACUCGAGUGGCGAACGGGUGAGUAACACGUGAGUGAUCUGCCCCCAACUUGGGUAUAAGCCUGGGAAACUGGGUCUAAUUCCCGAUAGGACUGCAGGGUGGUGCCUGUGGUGGAAAACGAUUUUCUAGUGGUUGGGGAUGAGCUCGCGGCCUAUCAGCUUGUUGGUGGGGCAAUGGCCUACCAAGGCGGCGACGGGUAGCCGGCCUGAGAGGGUGGACGGCCACAUUGGGACUGAGAUACGGCCCAGACGCCUACGGGAGGCAGCAGUGGGGAAGAUUGCACAAUGGGCGGAAGCCUGAUGCAGCGACGCCGCGUGGGGGAUGACGGCCUUCGGGUUGUAAACUCCUUUCGACCGCGAGGAAGCCACCUGGUUGGAAGGGUGGUGACGGUAGUGGUAGAAGAAGCACCGGCUAACUACGUG